GAGACUGACAGUGACUUAUAAGAUUCUGAGAUCAGGAAGGGAAAGGAAAUUCAUCUUUCUUUUUUGCUGCUGAGGAUUGAACCUAUGGCCUACAUCCCCAGCCCCAGAAAAUUUAUCUUUUAACCAUUUUCUGUUUCAUUAUUUUGGCACAUUAUUUGUAUAUGUUUGUGUAUUUCGGAAGACUUUAAGUAGCUGGAGAAAAUUGUUUGAAUGCUUGUUCAUAACACUGAAAUUUGCUCUAGAAAUUGUGUGUAAUUUGUUUUGCUUUAAAAAUCAGAACCUUGGGCCAGGGACUUAGCUCAGUGGUUCCAGUGUCUGUCUCGCAAGUGCAAGGUCCCAAGUUUGAUCUCUGGUACCAAAAUAAAUAAAUAAAUAAAUAAAAUAAAAUAAAAAUAAAAAUCAGAACCAUCUGGGUCAGAAGACCAGGAAGUCAGCUCCUUCAGCCUGAGCAUUUUGUAGGUGCAGAGCCUUAGGCUUGCUUCUUAAAAUUACUGUAGAGAUCAGUGACCAAGCAGGUCACACCCCAGUCUUUCAGGGUGAUUACGGCUGUAGUAGAUCUAAAAAAGCCCACAGCAAAUCAGAUCAAAAUCUUUCCUUGCAGAGUGUGGAGGGCGUUUGUUUGUUGACAAUGAUAGUGCCCCCUGUAAGGGGUACGUGCUGCUUCUAGAUUAUUCCAUAGUAUUCACCGUUAGUUUUUGAAACUAGAAUACUUACAUAUAUAAAUUUUCCAGUUGCUUCUCUUUCAGGGAUUAUUUUAGGGAAUUAAGGCUUUAUACUUACAGCUAAAAUAUUUAGUUACUCUAUGUAAAAAUUCAUAAUGCAGAAUGCUUUAUUUUUUUCCUUCCAAAGUAGUUAGUCCUCAGAGAAAUACCCCACUCCCUACUGUUCUACAGUUUCUUCAGGAAAAGCAUUGAAAGUAUAUUUACUCUCCACUGCCUCCCUCUUUACCCCCUCCCCAAAACCCCUCAAAGCAGUGACUACUGUUGCAUGCAGUAAAGAAGGUGGCAGGCCUAGGUGAGUUACCCCUGUACUAGUUAAAAAGUGAACAAAAACAUGGGCUUAGGACACUUACAGAGUCUUUUAUUUCUGUGAACUCUUUGGCUCCUGUUGGUUUUAGGCAAGAAUAAGGAGGAAUAUUUUCCCCUUUCUUUUCUCCCAAGUGUGGGGUCUGUCCCGGUGACUCUGCUGGGUUUCCAGGGCACCACAGGGCAUACAGGCUCCAGUGUGCUGCUGUGGAGCUUGGCCACUGGUCUAGGACAGAGUCUCUGUGGAAAUAGGAAUAUUGAGUUUUGACCACUUGUCCUAAAUGAACUCUUGAGCAUAGUUCAUAAUUUGGAGACUACCUUGUACUUUAAACACAAUUCAAUCUCUGUGCCUGUAAUUCGUGCUAUUUUGUUGUUGUUGCUGUUCCAUAGUGUUUGCAGUAGGUGGCAGUACGAUAAAAGAAUAAUUCAGUAGCCUGUCCUAACCUUUUUCUCUCCCUUCCCUUCCCUUCAUAUUUCUGAAUCUUAAAAAACCAGCUUUUUCCCUUGAAAGAAUUGUACUAUGGCAUUGACUACAUAUUAUAUUUGCUUACAUUAGAUGACAGAAAUUGAGGCAUGAAGUGAUUAUUAACUCCGUUUUGAUCUGUAUUGUGUUUAGAAGCAGUACUGCCCUGUUGUACAUCCAUUGGACUUAAAGUGUGACCCUGAUCCAGGUGGAGGACAGUUACUGAACUAACAUCAUAUCUCUUCUCUGUUUCCUCAUCUUUCACAUGGAACCGAUAAUAAUCCUAUCAUCUUUGGGAGAGAAUUCCAACAGCAAUGGAGGUGACUGACAAGUUGUGUCCUGGAGCUUCAGUCAGUGUGCCAGGAAGCAACAGAGCAGCCAUGAGGGACAGGCCCAGUACCUUAUAAUGACUGUUUGAAAAAGAGGACCUGGGGCUUUCCAUCAUGGCCAAUUUGGGGCAGCACUUCAUGAGGAAGACUCCCAAGAUACACUGUGGAAAACAAGAUAACUCACAUGAGGAUCACUGACCUGAGUGCAGAGAACUUCCAAAGAGCAAAAAUUGGCACCUCCAGGAGGACUGGGAAUGGUGAGUUAAAAAACAAGUAGAAAGGAGAAGCUUCAACAUAUUUGACCCUUCUUAAGCAGGUAUGAUUUCUGCUGCUGCCAUGGUCCAUAAACUUCAGACUCUGGACAGUCAAUUUUUUAACACAUAUAUUUGUCAGUAGCUCCCUAGGGGGCUUCAAAGUCUUCAUGUUUGGACAAUGGCUGAACUAUUGCUCUUUCUUGUUCUGAGGAUUCUAGCUCCUUCAUUUGAGCAGUCACUGAUCUUCCCAGCUUUCAAGCCCUCAGACACACACUGAAGAAGUAUUCGGCCCUGAGUGCACAAGGAAGUCUAAAAGUCUCUCUUGUAACAUGAGACUGGUAGGAAAGACACACACAUAUACAUUCAUAUUCAUGUGUUCCCCUGGAACUGUUCCAUGAUACCACCCUCACAAACAUAGCAUUUAACCCAGGAAAUAUUAUAAUGAAGAUAGUGUUUUGUGCACAAAAGGUUCACUAGAGUUGAGUUUACAGAAGUUCCUUGAAGUACAGUGUGGCUAUAUUCUAUCAACCCAAAGAAAGUUGCAAUAAAUAUGCAAGCUGGAUAUGCAUAAUCUAGGGAGUAUUAUAACCAAGCCCUUUCUAUAUAAACAGGUUUAGUACACUUACAUUGACCCAUAGUUAGAAAAAAACUGUGUCUAUUUCAUAAAAAUACUAAAUAUUACAUGUAAUAUUGCAUACAGUACACUGAAGAGGACUUGUUAUUUACUCAUAGUAACCUGUAGCUCACAGGGCAGAGCUUAUUGCUACUGCCCAACCAUAUGAGUAUUUUGUAACGUCACUACUGAGCAAAAAGGAUAAAAUUUAAAAAUCAGAGUAUGCUUUCUGAAGAAUGUGUAUCGGUUCUUCCUUCAUUCUGAAGUGUUGGAGAUUGAGCUCAUGACUCUGGACAUGCUAGACAAGUUCCUUAGGGUGGAGAUACAUUUACAGACCUUUUAAUUUUAUUUUGAAACAAGGACUUUCUCAGUUUCCCAGGCUGACUUCAAUCUUGCAAUCUUUGUAUCUCAAAGUCCAAAGUAGCUGUGAUUACAGGUGUGCACUACCAUACCCGACUGUAUAUAUUACAUUUACAUUGUAAACAGCCAAUAUAUUGUGAGUGAAAUGAAUAUAUCUCUGCCCCAUGUGAUGAGAGGAAAUGGUACACUAUUAGAUAUUAUACUCUACACUAUACAAACUUCCUGAGAGUCUUCCUCAGGAGGCUAGAGAAGAGAAAUAUGAUGUUCUGGUGCUUUUGGAAAUUCAUGGAAUAAUUUUUCAAAGUUGGGGUAUCAGAGUAGAGCCUCUGACAAUGAAAACUAGCCUGGUACUAAUGAUACCUACUGACCUGGAAGAUUCACUGCCUUUUCCCACAUUGCAUUCUUCUCCAAGAAGCUGACUUGUAAAUACCACAGCAUUCAGUCUGGCACAAUCUCUGGAUUCUGCUUGCUUUAACUAAUGGGGAGUACCAGUUGAAAAGCAGCCAAUAGGAGGCAAGAGAAGGCAGGGUAUUUAUUCUCCCGCCAACUACCCUGCUAUCCUGAGAUGAUGGCAAUCCUCCUGUCCUCUAUUGGCUAUAUAGCCUGCUGAAUUAACCUCUGCUAGCUCUAGGGUUCUGGCAACUUCAGAUUUUGCCCCUUUAAGUUCACUGCAUAUUUCUGCACAUUGAUGUUUCUGACAUUGUCAUUUUUCACAUGACAUACAGGUUUCCUCUAUCACCAUGUGUGCUUUUGUAACUAAAACUUCAUGAAUCUCUCACUAUAGUUUUGAAUGCAUCAUUCAGUUUUUACCUGUACUCUCUGCAAAUCAUAUUUUUGUUUUUAUUUAUCAUUAUUAUUUUUUGGUACCGGGGAUUGAACUUUGGACCUUGCCCUUGUGAGGCAGGCGCAGUUCCACUGAGCUAAAUCCCUGGUCCCUCUUUGCAAAUCAUAAAGGUAUUUAUGUUAGAGUUGUGAGAAAAAGUGUAGUACUUGGUAUAACUUCAUGUAGGUCUACAUGUAAAAGUUAUAUAUAUAUAUAUAUAUAUUGUUGUUCUUGUUUUUGUUGCUGUUGUUAGUACAUUUGCGGUACAUAUUGAUUACAUUCAUCAUAGGAAGUUGGUACAUGUACAUAACACAUCUUAAUAUCUUUUUUAUCCCCUUCUUCUCACUUCCUUCUCCUCACCCUCUACAUCUUAACAGUCAUACAAUAUAAUAGAUGUUUUAGUUAAUUUAAAGAACAGUGGCUGGAGGGGAUAGAAUAUCAAACAGAUGUAACAAAAUUUCUUGAGCUGAGGAGCACAAUGAACAUUUUAUUUAUGUUUCUGAAGACUCAGAAACAGUGCAAGGCAUGUUUGUUGACUAAUCUGGCUUUUGGUGAAGGUUAUCUUCUUGCAGAUGCCUCUCUCUCUCUCUCUGUCUCUCUCUCUCUGUCUCUCUCUCUCUCCUAGUAGGUAUUACAGGUACAAGCAAACAUAGCUAUGUGAUCAGGUAAAAAUCUAAUAUACUUGAAGAUAUAAUAUCCACAUAAUAUAAUAUAGUUGUUCAGGGCUUCAACACAUGAUUUAGGGGUGUUUAUUCCAUUCAUCACAAAGCCAGAGUAACUAGAAAGACAUUUAUCAAAGAUGAUUUCAGACCAUGAUAUGAAGAUAGGAUUGUCAACUAACAAUUGAUGAAGCUUCAGCAGAGGAGAGAGGUAAAAAUUUAUAAACUGGUAAGAAAGGGACUGAGGGAGCAGUAUACUUUUAGAAGGACCAAACAUUGAGAUAUGCUAAGUCAAAAGUUAGUGUUUUUAAUCAAUAUAAAAGGAAAUGCUAAUCAAUGCAAAGAGUGGUAUUGAAAAUGAAAAACAAAAACAGAAAAGAAAUACUUUUGAUCAAGUACAACCUCAAAAAAAAAAAAGUACAACCUCAUUGGAAUGUAAUAUUUAGCAAUUCAAUCAUGAUGGAAAUUAUGUCUCUGGAAUCUUUACUUAAAUAUUACAAAAUAUGUUCUAUGACUACUUACUCAGUAACUAUUAAUGAAGUAAUGAAUACAGCCAACCUGGUCAAAAAUAGUCAACAGAUUAGAAUUAAUCAUUCUUUUCUUUUAUUCUUAUUUUACCCCUCAGGAUGACUCUUUUCAUCCUGCUCUAUGGUCACAGCUAUCUCCCAUGGCACCUCUCACCCAGUUACUAUGGGAAUGUAACACUAGGAGCCCUGCAGUGGAGCUGGGUAGCUCUUCUGGGUCCUAGGUUCAAACAACCCUUUACCAGGAUGGUGUCUGACCAAGAUCUCUCUCUAGGGAUGUAGUAGGCACUUGUACUAGAGUCAUUCACCAGCCACUGCUUAUAGAAUGACUCACUAGGAGCAGUGUCUCACAUUCUUGCUAUAGAUCUUAGCAGCUGCCAAUCCAAUCUGUUCUACCACCUACCUCUCUGAGGUCCCCUUUGGUCUACAGCAUUCACUUGGUCUCAGUAUUCACUGAUGCCUUGAGCCAUCAUGAGUCAUAAGCCACAAGCCCCCAUGGGCUAUGAGCCACCAUAAGCCACAGAAAAAGUACAGAUAGUCUCCUCCUUUAUCUGCAUUGUUUUCUUUUUCUUCAGUUUCUCUGUACCUUUUAAUUUUCCUGUCAGAUCCUUCUGGUUCCUGGAAAUCUACUUCUCUCUUUUGUUUUUUGGCAAGUGGUUUUCCAAAGUCUGGAUUCCAAAUCUCAGAGUGGUUGAGUUGUUGUUGCACACUAUUCUGCCAUAUUUUUUCCAUCCCAUCUAAUUUAUUUUAUUUAACAUUAUGGUCCUGAGAUGCAUCCAUAUUGCUACAAAUGACUCAAAUUUAUUCUUCUUGACAGAAGAGAAGUACUCCACUAUGUAUAAAUACAUUUUCUUUACCCGUUUGUCUAUUGAUGAAUAUACAAGCUGCUUUCAAUUUCUUUUUCUAAAUCUACAUAUUCUCUUAUAUUUCCUAGAUACCAACAUUUUCUGGUUUACAGUGAUAUGCGACAAAGUUAUUUAUUUGUUUUCUUGGAUGCUGGAGACAGACAUCUUUAUUAAAGAUACUACCAAAAUUUUGGCAAACAUUUCACAAACAGAUUUGUAAACAUAAUGCUUUCCUUUUCAACUGGCAGCACUUUGAAAAGAAUAUAAGAUAACACAACUUGAAUAACAUUAGUUAAAAAUCCUAUGUUUUUGACCAUAUAACUUGUGUUCUCACAUGAUAAAACAAGUGAUAGUUUAAAUCAGCAUCAACAGAUAAACUCCAUGAAAUGAAAGUUUGUGCUAUUUGAUGAAUCACAGUAUGUUAUGGUUAAAUAUAUCUGCUUUUUAAUAUUCCUGGAAGCCAGAAUGAAAAAAAAUCUUUAAAUAUACAUCUCAUGUAGGUAAUAGCUUCUUUGCAUAUCUCUCUUCAAAAAAUACUUUAUAGCAGUAUAUUAAUAGGUUACCUACACAUUUAAUUUUAUAAUUUUGCCUCAAAACUA
Heterocephalus glaber (naked mole-rat) is the source of this 6494-nucleotide non-coding RNA. The record is from RefSeq and is a predicted model, not a curated record. Lineage: Eukaryota; Metazoa; Chordata; Mammalia; Rodentia; Bathyergidae.